GACGACGCUGGGCGGCGUGCCUAACACAUGCAAGUCGAACGGAGAUUAUAGCAAUGUAAUCUUAGUGGCGGACGGGUGAGUAACGCGUGGGCAACCUACCUCUAACCGGGGGAUAACACAGGGAAACUUGUGCUAAUACCGCAUAAGAUCAUAGGAGGACAUCCUCUAGUGAUCAAAGGAGAAAUCCAGUGAGAGAUGGGCCCGCGUCCGAUUAGCUAGUUGGCGGUGUAACGGACCACCAAGGCGACGAUCGGUAGCCGAACUGAGAGGUUGAUCGGCCACAUUGGGACUGAGACACGGCCCAGACUCCUACGGGAGGCAGCAGUGGGGAAUAUUGCGCAAUGGGGGAAACCCUGACGCAGCAACGCCGCGUGAAGGAUGAAGGUUUUCGGAUUGUAAACUUCUUUGAUGAGGGACGAAAGAAAUGACGGUACCUCAAAAACAAGCCACGGCUAACUACGUG
This 463-nucleotide ribosomal RNA is filed under the name uncultured bacterium. RNAcentral describes it as "bacterial SSU rRNA". It matches the Rfam family "Bacterial small subunit ribosomal RNA", at positions 38 to 507 of the family's 1533-position model. The record is from RNAcentral.